GACGAACGCGGGCGGCGUGCCUAAUACAUGCAAGUCGAGCGAAGUUUUUCUGGUGCUUGCACUAGAAAAACUUAGCGGCGAACGGGUGAGUAACACGUAAAGAACCUGCCUCAUAGACUGGGACAACUAUUGGAAACGAUAGCUAAUACCGGAUAACAGUAUUUCUCGCAUGAGAGAUAUUUAAAAGUUGGUUAUGCUAACACUAUGAGAUGGCUUUGCGGUGCAUUAGCUAGUUGGUGGGGUAAAGGCCCACCAAGGCGACGAUGCAUAGCCGACCUGAGAGGGUGAUCGGCCACACUGGGACUGAGACACGGCCCAGACUCCUACGGGAGGCAGCAGUAGGGAAUCUUCCGCAAUGGGCGAAAGCCUGACGGAGCAACGCCGCGUGAGUGAAGAAGGAUUUCGGUUCGUAAAGCUCUGUUGUUAGGGAAGAAUGGAUAUGUAGUAACUAUACAUAUAAGAGACGGUACCUAACCAGAAAGCCACGGCUAACUACGUGCCAGCAGCCGCGGUAAUACGUAGGUGGCAAGCGUUGUCCGGAAUUAUUGGGCGUAAAGCGCGCGCAGGCGGAUUGGUCAGUCUGUCUUAAAAGUUCGGGGCUUAACCCCGUGAUGGGAUGGAAACUGCCAAUCUAGAGUAUCGGAGAGGAAAGUGGAAUUCCUAGUGUAGCGGUGAAAUGCGUAGAUAUUAGGAAGAACACCAGUGGCGAAGGCGACUUUCUGGACGAAAACUGACGCUGAGGCGCGAAAGCCAGGGGAGCGAACGGG
This 767-nucleotide ribosomal RNA is filed under the name uncultured Gemella sp. RNAcentral's name for it is "bacterial SSU rRNA". It matches the Rfam family "Bacterial small subunit ribosomal RNA", at positions 28 to 776 of the family's 1533-position model. Lineage: Bacteria; Bacillati; Bacillota; Bacilli; Caryophanales; Gemellaceae. The record is from RNAcentral.